RNAcentral lists this long non-coding RNA (704 nucleotides) under Salmo salar (Atlantic salmon). RNAcentral's name for it is "lncRNA (ENSSSAG00000091354.1, ENSSSAG00000106944.1, ENSSSAG00075065496.1)". The record is from RNAcentral. Lineage: Eukaryota; Metazoa; Chordata; Actinopteri; Salmoniformes; Salmonidae.
UAUCCAUCUGUUAGUUCGGUAGGUUUCAUAUGAAAUACAGCCUGAUUACACAGUAGCCUAAAGAAAAUAGACAAACUGUACCCCGAAAUUCCUCCAUCGCAAAUGAGCUUUCGUUUACAACACGUCAACCAAUCUCAACAGCCGCACUUGAUAAAGGGAGGGUGCAGAAAUUGAUCUGCGAUGUGCAGUGGAAUGAGGAGUGGCUCCAAGAGAAUAGGAUUAAGAAGGUGCUGCUGAGCGAUGCCCGCAGGGAGGAGUGCGAGAUGAAGGCCAGCCUGAGAAUGAACCAGAAGGAGAAAGGAGCAGCAGCAGCUAGAGAGACAGGACCUGCUGGACUACAUGCAUCAGCUGGAGCAGAGGCUGGAAGUGGCUACAGACAAUAAGAGGAAGGAAGUGGCUCUCUACUACUCAACCAGUGAAUGAUAUCAAUACCACAGAGGCUUAUGUACAGACCCAAAGCCAGGCACUCACAGUAUACAUUCUAGUCAUAUACAGUAUAGCACAUACGUCAUCACAUUCUUGGAUGCACACAAACUCAUAUUUAAAGAGACACCCUGUCUUCCUUUGCAGCUCGUGGCGAUGACUCCUAAUAUGACAAAUCGUCUGAGGAUGAGAAACCCUCUACCAGACACCCAGACUACCCUACUGGAAUGACGCCCUGGAACGCUCCUCUCACCGGAAUGUCGAGUGUCCCCAGACAGACA